ACCAGGAUGGCAGAGUGGUUAAGGCGUUGGAGCUUAAGAUCCAAUGUACAAAUUUAUGCGUGGGUUCGAACCCCACUCCUGGUA
Molecule: non-coding RNA, 84 nt
Organism: Nematostella vectensis (starlet sea anemone)
Lineage: Eukaryota; Metazoa; Cnidaria; Anthozoa; Actiniaria; Edwardsiidae
Source: Rfam